GACGAACGCUGGCGGCGUGCCUAAUACAUGCAAGUAGAACGCUGAAGAGAGGAGCUUGCUCUUCUUGGAUGAGUUGCGAACGGGUGAGUAACGCGUAGGUAACCUGCCUUGUAGCGGGGGAUAACUAUUGGAAACGAUAGCUAAUACCGCAUAACAAUGGAUGACACAUGUCAUUUAUUUGAAAGGGGCAAUUGCUCCACUACAAGAUGGACCUGCGUUGUAUUAGCUAGUAGGUGAGGUAAUGGCUCACCUAGGCGACGAUACAUAGCCGACCUGAGAGGGUGAUCGGCCACACUGGGAAUGAGACACGGCCCAGACUCCUACGGGAGGCAGCAGUAGGGAAUCUUCGGCAAUGGGGGCAACCCUGACCGAGCAACGCCGCGUGAGUGAAGAAGGUUUUCGGAUCGUAAGGCUCUGUUGUAAGUCAAGAACUGGUGUGAGAGUGGAAAGUUCACACUGUGACGGUAGCUUACCAGAAAGGGACGGCUAACUACGUG
RNAcentral lists this ribosomal RNA (497 nucleotides) under uncultured bacterium. Its description in RNAcentral is "partial 16S ribosomal RNA". It matches the Rfam family "Bacterial small subunit ribosomal RNA", at positions 28 to 507 of the family's 1533-position model. The record is from RNAcentral.